GGCGAACGGGUGAGUAACACGCGGGUGAUCUGCCCUGCACUCUGGGAUAAGCCUGGGAAACUGGGUCUAAUACCGGAUAGGACCAUGCUUUAGUGUGUGUGGUGGAAAGUUUUUCGGUGUAGGAUGAGCCCGCGGCCUAUCAGCUUGUUGGUGGGGUAAUGGCCUACCAAGGCGGCGACGGGUAGCCGGACUGAGAGGUUGGUCGGCCACAUUGGGACUGAGAUACGGCCCAG
RNAcentral lists this ribosomal RNA (233 nucleotides) under uncultured Actinomycetales bacterium. RNAcentral's name for it is "partial 16S ribosomal RNA". It matches the Rfam family "Bacterial small subunit ribosomal RNA", at positions 97 to 334 of the family's 1533-position model. Lineage: Bacteria; Bacillati; Actinomycetota; Actinomycetes; Actinomycetales. The record is from RNAcentral.